RNAcentral lists this ribosomal RNA (253 nucleotides) under uncultured bacterium. RNAcentral describes it as "partial 16S ribosomal RNA". It matches the Rfam family "Bacterial small subunit ribosomal RNA", at positions 524 to 776 of the family's 1533-position model. The record is from RNAcentral.
UACGGAGGGUGCGAGCGUUGUCCGGAAUCACUGGGCGUAAAGGGCGCGUAGGCGGUCUGUUAAGCGUGUGGUGAAAGUCCGGGGCUCAACCCCGGAUCGGCCGUGCGGACUGCAAAGCUCGAGCACUGUAGAGGCAGGUGGAAUUCCGGGUGUAGCGGUGGAAUGCGUAGAGAUCCGGAGGAACACCAGUGGCGAAGGCGGCCUGCUGGGCAGUGGCUGACACUGAGGCGCGACAGCGUGGGGAGCAAACAGG